This 220-nucleotide long non-coding RNA is filed under the name Elaeis guineensis (African oil palm). Its description in RNAcentral is "long non-coding RNA (EGUI_LNC010528)". The record is from RNAcentral. Lineage: Eukaryota; Viridiplantae; Streptophyta; Magnoliopsida; Arecales; Arecaceae.
ACCCUUGCCACUUCAUCGUCCCUUUGCUUUACUAGACUUCACGUUAUCGGCUUUUCUAGAUUGUUUCUAUUUAUCUUUUCUUCUCAUAUCCCCAUUUUAGAAUUUUCUUAUCGAAGCCCUAAACUCUGGGAGAUGGAGCUACAUCGCUGUAAAUUAUCCAUGUCUUCAAUGCAAGCCUAAUGGGGAAAUGUAAGGAUCUUAAGUUUUAUCUGUGUGUGCA